UUGCUUCCAAGUUGUUGUGCAACAAAUUGAGAACUCUAAGAACUCAUAUGCAAAGCCAACUUUAACUGGAAUGGGCACAGAAUAUGUCAACACGAUAGGUUAUGAACCUCAAGUUGUGUGCUAGUGAAGAACUUUAGGUUUUAUUCUUGAUUAGUUCUUGAGACUUUCAAGACCUUUAAGACUCCCACUGUCCUCUUGACCUAUAAGACUCCCUUGUCAAACAUCCAAGAGAUAGUGUGGAUUCUAAUCAAGACAAACACUUCACACAAUUGGCCUAAGUUGGUCUUUGUUUUAUCCAAAACAUCACAACUUACCAAUUUCAAAUGUACAAGAGUAGAAAACUUUUACUCUUACAUUUGACAAGUGUUUUAAACCUUCUUUAAGACAUGUCACUCAAGUUACAAUCUUGGAGUAUGACUCUAAGACUUGUAUUGGAACGAAGUAUGACUCAUCUUCUUGAUUUAACCAUUUCAACAAUUCAAGUUCCUCUUCUUAGUCAUAAGAAUGCACUAAGAUUUCCUUAGAGAACUAAUUUUGAUAUGGUUUCUUAAUCAUUAAGAUGAUCAAAAAACUGAUACUAAAGUACUCUCCCAUCUUUUCAGAUUUGAGAAACUUCUAUCCUUCUGCCUAAUUUGAUUCUUCUUAUUCGCUCUGCCAUACAUUGAACAUCUUCCAAUGUUUCAGAAUUAUACUUCAACUUGUAAGUAUAACCAUAUUUACUGAGCUUUAGUAAACUAUGAUGAAUAGUCUUAUCGAUCUUUUAUGGUGGACUUAGUCAGUACACAAGAAUGUGUACUCGAUCCCUUAGUCCUUUACUUGACUCACACAUCCAUGUGAACAAGUAAUUAGUCUUAAUUUUCCAAUACUUGAAAGUUCUCAUUCAUCAUGCUAUACAACUUGCAUGAUUCCAAGUUCCGGUCCAAUUGAAACUUGGGUGAUGAGAAUCUUUCCUUAUUUGGUAAAUUUAGACAUUACCACAAAUGAAAGAAUCAAUUUCAUAUUUCCACUCUUGCUAUUAAUGGAAUCAUAUAAGCAACAAUUUUUCCUCAAAUGCCAUUGUAAGGAUAUUUUAAAAUAAAUAAAAUCAAAAUUUUCUUUUAUUUUAAACUUUGCGGAAAAACUUAUCCUUACAAUCCAUAUGAAAACUUGUUGUUAUCUAUUCUUAAGCAAUAUCUCAUAACUCCUAAGAAGUAGCUCAAGAAUCCGAUCUACAAACUACACGAUAGAAAUCCAUCUAUGCGAUCAGAUUCAGCAUACACUUUCUUUAAGUUUCUUCCUUUUCUUUGAUUCUUAAAACAGCACCAUGUGACCCAAUCACAUCAUGUAUCAAGAAUCUCAGAAAGAAACUUAANAAUUAUGAAGAGGGAUGCCGUAAUCAUAAUGGUUAGACCUUUUUGCCACUUCUCACAAGUCCAGGUUAGUGUGCCGGUAAACCACACACGCUCCACUAACGACUUUGAGAAUGCAAAUAUCACAAUUGCUAUCUAGCUAAAAUCUACUUGGUGAAAGUGUUUCCUCACCAUCAUUUUCAAGAAUCGGAGAGAAACCGUAUGACACUUAGAUUUAAUGGUGUAUGUGUUCUUAUCCAUGUGAAUUGUCAAAACCAUGGUCAUAAGACAAGGAUAAUGACAAAUCCAAACUCUUUUGGAUUGACAUCAAUCUUAACUUCUUGCUACCUGACAGCUCAAGGGCCUGCCAUUGCCUCCAAGUUGUUGUGCAACACAUUGAUAACUCUAAGAACUCAUAUGCAAAGCCAACUUUAACUGGAAUGGGCAUAGAAUAUGUCAACACGAUAGGUUAUAAACCUCAAGUCGUGUGCUAGUGAAGAACUUCAGGUUUUUAUUCUUGAUUAGUUCUUGAGACUUUCAAGACUUUUAAGACUCCCACUGUCCCUUGACCUAUAAGACUCCAUUGUCAAACAUCCAAGAGAUAGUGUGGAUUCUAACCAAGACAAACACUUCACACAAUUGGCCUUAAUUGGUCUUUUUUUUUAUCCAAAACAUCACAACUUACCAAUUUCAAAUGUACAAUAGUAGGAAACUUUUACUCUUACAUUUGACAAGUGUUUUAAACCUUCUUUGAGACAUGUCACUCAAGUUACAAUCUUGGAGUAUGACUCUAAGACUUGUAUUGGAACGAAGUAUGACUCAUCUUCUUGAUUUAACCACUUCACCAAUUCAUAGCUCCUCUUCUUAGCUAUUANN
Molecule: long non-coding RNA, 2204 nt
Filed under: Lactuca sativa (garden lettuce)
Lineage: Eukaryota; Viridiplantae; Streptophyta; Magnoliopsida; Asterales; Asteraceae
Description: long non-coding RNA (LSAT_LNC006729)
Source: RNAcentral